GUUAACAGGCUGAUCUUCCCCAAGAGCUCACAUCGACGGGAAGGUCUGACACCUCGAUGUCGGCUCUUUGCCACUUGGGGCUGUAGUAUGUUCCAAGGGUUGGGCUGUUCGCCCAUUAAAGCGGUACGUGAGCUGGGUUCAGAACGUCGUGAGACAGUUC
This 160-nucleotide small RNA is filed under the name Helianthus annuus (common sunflower). RNAcentral's name for it is "Eukaryotic large subunit ribosomal RNA". It matches the Rfam family "Bacterial large subunit ribosomal RNA", at positions 2473 to 2632 of the family's 2925-position model. The record is from RNAcentral. Lineage: Eukaryota; Viridiplantae; Streptophyta; Magnoliopsida; Asterales; Asteraceae.